Molecule: long non-coding RNA, 314 nt
Organism: Liolophura sinensis
Lineage: Eukaryota; Metazoa; Mollusca; Polyplacophora; Chitonida; Chitonidae
Exons: 3
Source: RefSeq, a predicted model, not a curated record
CAAAAGGCGAAUAUGGCCUUCCGAUGGGUCCGCAACAACAGCAGACGCCGGAUUCUGGAAUUGGUGGCGAUGAGAGUUUUCACACAGAUAACCUACCUCAUAGUGGCCUGAAUCAUGGCAGAUGAAGAAGAGCUGUGUGACUCAGUUUCAGAUAUUGAUACUCUCCUGGGUGAAUAUUUCGAGCAUAUGCAGGAAGGCCCUCAGCUACCACCCGACCUGGCUAACAAGAUAGAUGUUCCAAUAACCUAUGGACUGUAUACCAAAGCAUUACUGAGGCUGGAGACAAGAGGAAUCAACAUUCAGAACAAUUUGCC